GUGCGUUGCGUGCCAGUUUUCGCCAUUUUAAGCGCCUUGUUUCGUAGUACUUCUGUCAAGUAGUUGAUUUUGUUUACGUGAUCGUGUUUUGCGGAUAAAUUACGAGGAUUUGAUUUACUAAAUCUAAGUUGAAUUUGAAAAAAGUGUAAUUCAACAUGCCCGCGUGUUCUAUUGUGCAGUGUGGUGCCAAAAAAGGCAAAAAACAACCCCAUUUGACACUUCAUAGGAAAAUAACUCAAAUGACACGAUAAACGAUUGUGAAGAAGAUCCUGAGCAAGAUGGUCCGCAGCAGAAUGACGGCUGCCUAAAAGCUGAAAGACCGGAUACUCCUGAACCUGAACCUUCUACAUUUACAAACAAGGUCGACGAAGCAGUCAAUGAUUCAGUAAAUGAUAUUCCACCUGACGCGUUAACGGAUCGCAAAAAACCAGAUGAAGACGAGUACGAUCUUUUUGGCCGUUCAUUGGCGAUCCAGCUUAGAAAACUGCCUGAACUUGACGCACUAGAUUUGAUGCAUAAGGUGCAGUUAAUGGUAAUCUCUAAGAAGAAACAGAUACAACAAGCAGCAAGCCGGAAGCGCACAAUUCAUGCACAAAAGACUGUUAUUUCCAAGAGGUCACUGCGUUCUUCAUCCCCCAUGCACGUUCUAUCGCGUUCACCUUCGCCGAGUACGAGUCCAGAAACCGAGGUGUUUGCACAAUUUGCCAACACCAAUUCGUGUUUAGAAGAUCCUUUGACGCCUGGUCAAAUUCGUGUCAAAAAAGAAAACAUGAAUUAGUUGUGCGUCUUUUCAUCAAUCAUACCUAUUCGGCCAGUCAUCUAAGAAUGGUAUAGGUACAGUACGGUCACGAGCAUUAAUAUGUAUACACUUUGGUACCAUGUCACAUUAACUUUCUUAACAAAUUGAACUGUACGUCUCACUAAAUGUCAAAUAUGUUAGUGCGUGAGUCCUAAAGUGGGUACAUUAUCGUUUGAGAACUUUUCCAAUUAGUCCCGCGCCCGCGGAACGGGUUACGUGCCUCGUGCAACGCGAAUUAUAUCAAGGCCUACGACCAAUAGCUGCACGACGUCAUCCAUCUAGAUAACCAGACUACAGAAUAGUAGGUAUUCUACGUCUAUUGCUCAAAUUCCUUGAUGUAUUUCGUGUCGCGCCGCUGAACCCGUGCCGCCCGCGCUGUAAAUAUUAUGCGUCUGUGAUUAUGUUUAUCUAGGUAGACAAGACUUGUAGUUACAAGAAGUAUGUAUUUCCUAUUCGUUUCGCCAUUAUGUUGAAAAUUCUAUGUAUGUUCAUUGUAAAUUCACAAGAUCAUAAUACUUAUUUAGUUAACGAAUAUCUUACGUUGAAGUACAUAAGUAGUACCUAUAUCUAAACUUCAAUAAAAGUUUUUAUGUGAGUACCUAA
RNAcentral lists this unclassified non-coding RNA (1402 nucleotides) under Pectinophora gossypiella (pink bollworm). RNAcentral's name for it is "tHAP domain-containing protein 7-like". The record is from RNAcentral. Lineage: Eukaryota; Metazoa; Arthropoda; Insecta; Lepidoptera; Gelechiidae.